GGCUAACAGCGCACACCACCCCCAGGGGGCUCUACUCUUCUCAGAAGGCACCAGUAUUUCUCAAGCUUUGAGUGGAGAUGUCUUAGCCACCAGAACCCAUCUCUGCUCUGAUAAAGAGGAUUAAAGACGCCUGGGGUAACCUAUAGUGCCCCCAUCCACAGACAUCUCCAUCUCCUGAGAGAAACCUUGAGUGACCUUGUACUCAUAGGUUUUUAUUUCUUCAAACCAGCUGAUGAGCCAUACCACCCCAAGAUAACUGGACAGCACACAAUUCCCUGUAGGUAGGGCUACAAUCUCUUUCAACAAGAAGUAGAUAUAACGUUGGAGACCUUAUAUGUCUCUUAGGGGAAAAUGAGACAGGAGAUUAGGGUAUGGCAGAUUGGCUGGGGAAGUAGGCCUCACCUAUUAAUUACAAAAUCCCAGGACACUUGUACAGAACCAUCUCCAAAGCCUCGCAUGUGGACCCAGUCAGACAGUGCUGUCUUCAAGUCUUCUUGUGAGAACACUAUGCAGUUUUGAUAGGACAGCCUAGACCUGAUGUCAAUCUAGGGUGUGGGAGAUAUAAAAAACAGUCACCAUUAGGCUUGGGGGCCACUGUGCUGUUUCACAGUGAUCUGCUCUCACCCUUCAGAGUGCACUAUUUUCCUACUUUUACUUGGUCCAAACUCUACAGGGCACAUUUUUUCCCCUACCUUUAAUAAAUAUGAA
Molecule: long non-coding RNA, 708 nt
Organism: Chinchilla lanigera (long-tailed chinchilla)
Lineage: Eukaryota; Metazoa; Chordata; Mammalia; Rodentia; Chinchillidae
Exons: 3
Source: RefSeq, a predicted model, not a curated record